AUGACAUUUUCUUUGAGCUGCAUUUCUUUCGGGAGACUUAUGUAUUAUGUAGGUGUUGAUUAUGCUCUGGCACUUACGGGAUUCGAUCUUACCACACAAAAAAGUGUUGUAAAAUGUUUCUAUAGAUCCUGGAUUUCCUGUAGCAAAGUAGACCUCAUGUAUAAGAUUUAUUAUCCAAUGAAACAAAAUCAUGUGCUCAUGGGAAAUCUUGUCUGUAGAGUACUAUUGUUUGGCAUUCCUCCUUUUCUUCAGCUGUUGGUUUUGUCGGCGUAUGCCAUGGGCAUUGGGCUAGUACAUCAGCCCCACAUAAUGUUUUUUCUUGCGGGCAAUGUUGAUUCUAAGCAGCUUCAAACAAAUGAGAUUUUGAAGGAUUCCUAG
RNAcentral lists this ribosomal RNA (378 nucleotides) under Triticum aestivum (bread wheat). RNAcentral's name for it is "partial small subunit ribosomal RNA". The record is from RNAcentral. Lineage: Eukaryota; Viridiplantae; Streptophyta; Magnoliopsida; Poales; Poaceae.